AGUGAACGCUGGCGGUAGGCCUAACACAUGCAAGUCGAACGGCAGCACAGUAAGAGCUUGCUCUUACGGGUGGCGAGUGGCGGACGGGUGAGGAAUACAUCGGAAUCUACUUUUUCGUGGGGGAUAACGUAGGGACACUUACGCUAAUACCGCAUACGACCUACGGGUGAAAGCAGGGGAUCUUCGGACCUUGCGCGACUGAAUGAGCCGAUGUCGGAUUAGCUAGUUGGCGAGGUAAAGGCCCACCAAGGCGACGAUCCGUAGCUGGUCUGAGAGGAUGAUCAGCCACACUGGAACUGAGACACGGUCCAGACUCCUACGGGAGGCAGCAGUGGGGAAUAUUGGACAAUGGGCGCAAGCCUGAUCCAGCCAUACCGCGUGGGUGAAGAAGGCCUUCGGGUUGUAAAGCCCUUUUGUUGGGAAAGAAAAGCAGCAGGUUAAUACCCCGCUGUUCUGACGGUACCCAAAGAAUAAGCACCGGCUAACUUCGUG
This 492-nucleotide ribosomal RNA is filed under the name uncultured bacterium. RNAcentral describes it as "partial 16S ribosomal RNA". It matches the Rfam family "Bacterial small subunit ribosomal RNA", at positions 29 to 507 of the family's 1533-position model. The record is from RNAcentral.